GUCAGAUUACAGCCCUUUAGGACUGAACAUCACAUUCCUAAUGUAGGCCUCCAUUUAAUAUUGUUGUAUAAUUUGUUCAAAUGAUUUAAUGUUCAGAUGAUCUUUUUUUUAAAAAAAAAAGUUGAAAUGUAAAAUAAUACACCGUAUAUAACUUAUAUUUAGAAAAAAUAAAAUAUUGAAAUACUGAUUUUUUUUUUCUCAAAAAAUUAGGUAAAUUUAAAAGUUUAUCCAAAAACAUUAAAUUGCAGCAUUAUGUACCAAAGAAAACAUAAGGAAUAAAUGUCAUCGUUUACAAACAAAUGCCAAAUGCAAACUAAUUUUAAAUAAUAAUCAGCUAAUAUAGAAUAUUAGAGGAUUUAGAUUAUCUUAAUAUCUGCAGGUAAAAUAUUUGACAGGAGAUAAACUGAGAUGUAAGCUUCCAAGUUAGGACUAAAACUCCAAACUUUCCCUUUUUUAUAGCAUUUUUUUUUUUUUUUGGAGCUUUUCCAAAGGUUUACAAAUUCUCACUGUCACAAUUAUACCAGGAAAAUGAUAAGAAAAGAAAAAAAAAUGGUGCAAACAUAUUUAAGUAUUGCCAUCUUGUCUGUGACACUUCUGCAAUAUGUUGAUAAUUUAAUAAUUGGUUUAUAAAUAUGCACAAAUUGUGAAUAAAG
Pelobates cultripes (western spadefoot toad) is the source of this 653-nucleotide non-coding RNA. Lineage: Eukaryota; Metazoa; Chordata; Amphibia; Anura; Pelobatidae. The record is from the annotation of a GenBank genome assembly.